Cyprinus carpio (common carp) is the source of this 1512-nucleotide long non-coding RNA. Lineage: Eukaryota; Metazoa; Chordata; Actinopteri; Cypriniformes; Cyprinidae. The record is from Ensembl.
GUGAAACCAUUCAUAAUGUGGUUAGACUUGGUCAGAAGAUUAGGUGUAUAUUUAUAUACCUAAUCUUUUGACCAAGUCUAACCACAUUACGUGCUUUAAACUGCUAUUGUAAAACAAACUUUUUGCAAAACUCUAAAAACACAGCUAUCUACAUUAUACACAUCAUUCAAAAGUAGCAGCUCUUUUGUUCCAUUUGGAAAAACACUGCCAUUUAAAUGCCACACUCAUUUAAUGAUGACCUUCAGCCAGUGAUCAUGUGUAAAAACAGACAUAAUUUGUUCACUAAGAAAUCAAAACGAAAGAUUUUUACCCCCUUGCAUUUCUGUUUACAUUGUAUAUAUAUAUGUAUGUAUAUCUAUAUAUAUAUAUGUAUAUCUAUAUACUGUGUGUGUGUGUGCGCGCGCGCGGUUUGCCAUCAUUCUUCUCUUCUUUCUUUAUUAGUUCAGUCUCUACAGCACGUCUGCAUGAUCUUGAGCAGUUUAAGCUCCUUCACAGCUCUGUUAUGGCGAAUGUUCAAACCAGGAUUCUUCAUCUGGAUCUCUCUAUCAUCAUUAUUUUCCUGAUUCAUGCAGAUUAUUCAAAAUCUAAUCAAGAGCAAAGGAUUCAGCAGCACAUCAACAAAACAGUGUUUGUGGGGGAAACAGUUACACUUCACUGCAACAAAACCCAACUUGAUGAUGAUUUCACAUGGAAAAUGAACAACUCUGUUAUUUUUAGGCAGGUCUCUUAUUUUAACAUAACUAAGACAAACUUCAGCUCAAACAGGAUUCACAUCGACCCCGCAGCUCCAAGAGAAUUAACAAUACAUCAAAUACAAGCGUCUGAUGCAGGAAACUACAGCUGUUACCCAGCAGCAAUAAGAUGGACAUUAACAAUAACAGAUAUCCAGAUCAGACCAGAAUCACUCAAACAAAUGUCGCUGAACAUCAUCAUCAUUAUCAUCUCAUGUUCUGGAGUCAUUAUGAUCUGUUUUAUCAUCACCAUCAGCAUCUGCAUUCACAGGAAACUGAGACAGAAGAUCAGCUCUGGUUCAGAGGAUGUGAAGAUGAUCUCUGACUGUGACAAACACACAGUAACAGCCUGUGUAAGUCAGUUGAACUCGACACACACCUCCAUCAUGUUUACCACAUCAUGUCUGUCCCUGGCCCCCAGCAAACAUCACUGACUCACUUCUUGAUGGAAACAUGUUGUGCAAUCAAACUACUGCUCUGUAAAAAUCACUUUUGUUCCAUCCAUUUGUGUCAUUUUAACAGCUAUAAAUAUACAUGAUAUUUAUAAACAGCACAGCAGAUAUUUGAACAAGAGAUGAAAUGUAUGUGUUUGUGUUCCACUUGUUUUAUCUUUGUUUUCUUCAGGUCUACAGUCUUCAUACAGUUUCAUGAACAUCUUUUCUUCUCAAGACAGCAGUGUGUGUCUGACACUCAACAGAUCAUCAUUACAAUACAGGAAGAUGUUUGAGAACGAGACCAUUACAAUAAUAAAUACAGUCUCAGAGGAUCUGUAUGUGAAUGU